RNAcentral lists this ribosomal RNA (407 nucleotides) under uncultured bacterium. RNAcentral describes it as "partial 16S ribosomal RNA". It matches the Rfam family "Bacterial small subunit ribosomal RNA", at positions 28 to 526 of the family's 1533-position model. The record is from RNAcentral.
GACGAACGAUGGCGGCGUGCCUAAUACAUGCAAGUAGAACGCAGUUGCGAACGGGUGAGUAACGCGUAGGUAACUGCCCCAUAGCGGCGGAUCACUAUUGGAAACGAUAGCUAAUACCGCAUACUGCGGGAUGGACCUGCGUUGGAUUAGCUCGUUGGUGAGGUAAAGGCUCACCCAGGCGACGAUACAUAGCCGACCUGGGAGGGUGGUCCGCCACACUGCGACUGAGACACGGCCCGGGCUCCUACGGGAGGCAGCGGUUGGGAGGCUACGGCAAUUGACGGAAGUCUGACCGAGCAACCCCGCGCGAGUGAAGAAGGGUUUCGGAUCGCAAAGAUCUGUUGUUAGAGCAGCGGUAACCAACCAGAAAGGGACGGCUAACUACGUGCCAGCAGCCGCGGUAAUUC